RNAcentral lists this ribosomal RNA (404 nucleotides) under uncultured bacterium. Its description in RNAcentral is "partial 16S ribosomal RNA". It matches the Rfam family "Bacterial small subunit ribosomal RNA", at positions 28 to 525 of the family's 1533-position model. The record is from RNAcentral.
GACGAACGCUGGCGGCGUGCUUAACACAUGCAAGUCGAGCGGAGCGGCGAACGGGUGAGUAACGCGUGAGUAACUGCCCCCCUCUCUGGGAUAACAGUUGGCAACGGCUGCUAAUACCGGAUAGUGGGGGAUGACUCGCUUCUUAUCAGCUUGUUGGUGGGGUAGUGGCCUACUAAGGCGACGACGGGGAGCCGGUCGGAGGGGGCGACCGGCCACAUUGGGCUGAUGUACGGCCCAAAAUCCUACGAGGGGCAGCAGUAGGGUAUAUUGCACAGUGGGGGAAACUCUGAUGCAGCAGCGCCGCGUGCGGGAUGACGGCCUUCGGGUUAUAAAACGCUUUCAGCCAUGACGCGGUAGUGGCAGAAGAGGAACCGGUUAACUACGUGCCAGCAGCCGCGGUAAUU